AAGGAAAAGGUAUUAAGGGCACAGGAUGGAUGCCUUGGCACUUACAGCCGAAGAAAGACGUCGCAAGCUGCGAAAAGCCUCGGGGAGCCGCAAGCGGGCCUUGAUCCGGGGAUAUCUGAAUGGGGCAACCCGUCGGAGGAAGACUCCGACACACCGCAAGGUGGGGAACCUGGUGAAGUGAAACAUCUCAGUAGCCAGAGGAAAAGAAAUCGAAGAGAUACCCUGAGUAGUGGUGAGCGAAAGGGGAAGAGCCUAAACUGAACAUGUGUAAGCCUGCAAGCGUUGCAUGUUUGGGGUUGAGGGACCUUCGGGAGCAGAUUGCAGACUGCUCGCAGAGUUAGAAAGCGUCAGCUUAGCUGAACGGUGUUGGAAAAGCCGGCCGUAGAGGGUGAAAGCCCUGUAGGCGAAAAGCUGAAGCCUCUGAGAAGGGAUCCCAAGUAGGCCGGAGCACGUGGAAUUCCGGUUGAAUCAGGGCGGCCCAUCGUCCAAGGCUAAACACUGUAAGUGACCGAUAGCGCAUAGUACCGAGAGGGAAAGGUGAAAAGCACCCCGGGAGGGGAGUGAAAUAGACCUGAAACCCUGUGCCUACAAGCAGUUGAAGCUGGAAGCNNNNNGCGAGUUUCGUGCAGCACACCCGAAGCCCGACGAUCUAGCCAUGGGCAGGUUGAAGUGAGGGUGAAACCUCAUGGAGGACCCAACCAGUGCCUGUUGAAAAAGUCUUGGAUGACCUGUGGUUAGGAGUGAAAAGCUAAUCGAGUUGGGUAAUAGCUGGUUCUCCCCGAAAUGCAUUGAGGUGCAGCCUCAAGUAGUAAGUGUCGGGGGUAGAGCUACUGACAGAUCAAGGGGUCCUGGGGGACUACCGAGAUCUAUCAAACUCCGAAUACCGACACUGUAAACUUGGGAGUGAGACUACGGGUGAUAAGGUUCGUGGUCAAAAGGGAAACAGCCCAGAUCAACAGCUAAGGCCCCAAAGAGUUCGCUAAGUGUGACAAGGAUGUGGGAAGCCUCAGACAGCCAGGAGGUUGGCUCAGAAGCAGCCAUCCUUUAAAGAGUGCGUAACAGCUCACUGGUCGAGGUCUCCUGCGCCGAAAAUGUAGGGGGCUAAGCGAACCGCCGAAGCUAUGGGAUGUGAAAACAUCGGUAGGGGAGCGUACUCUAAAGGGAAGAAGCCGCAUUGUGAAGUGCGGUGGACUACAGAGUAGUGAGAAUGUCGGCAUGAGUAACGCAAUGCGAGUGAGAGCCUCGCACACCGAAAGACCAAGGAUUCCUGGGGAAGGUUCGUCCGCCCAGGGUUAGGCGGGACCUAAGGUCAGGCUGAAAAGCGUAGCCGAUGGACAACCGGUAGACAUUCCGGUCCCGCGAGAGCUUGCAUGACCGAAGGAGUGACGCAGGAGGCUAAGUGGAGCCGGCGGAUGGAAGAGCCGGUUCAAGGGAGUAGGGAGACGAGGCAGGCAAAUCCACCUUGUCGAUAAUCCUGAGACCUGAUGGGGAGCCCUUAGAGGGUGAAGCCACUGAAGCCCGGCUGCCGAGAAAAGCUUCUAGGGAGAGCGAUCGCGCCCGUACCCGAAACCGACACAGGUGGUCAGGCUGAACAAGCCAAGGUGAAUGGGAAAACUCUCGUUAAGGAACUCUGCAAGUUGACUCCGUAACUUAGGGAGAAGGAGUGCUGCGCCCGUGAAAUGGAUACUCAUGUAAGCGGGAAGCAGCCGCAGAAACCAGGCCCAAGCGACUGUUUAAUAAAAACAUAGGACUCUGCGUAAGGUGCAAACCGAAGUAUAGGGUCUGACGCCUGCCCGGUGCUGGAAGGUUAAAGGGAAGAGUUAGCCGCAAGGCGAAGCUUAGAACUGAAGCCCCAGUAAACGGCGGCCGUAACUAUAACGGUCCUAAGGUAGCGAAAUUCCUUGUCGGGUAAGUUCCGACCUGCACGAAUGGCGUAACGAUUUGGGCGCUGUCUCGACGAGAGACCCAGUGAAAUUGUAGUACCGGUCAAGAUGCCGGUUACCCGUGGCGGGACGGAAAGACCCCAUGGAGCUUUACUGUAGCCUGGUACUGACGUUUGACCUUACACGUACAGGAUAGGUGGGAGACUGAGAAUACAGAUCGUUAGAUUUGUAGGAGUCGAUGUUGGGAUACCACCCUUGUGAUGUUGAACGUCUAACGCAUAGCACUGAAGCGUGAAUGCGGACCCUGCCAGGUGGGCAGUUUGACUGGGGCGGUCGCCUCCUAAAGAGUAACGGAGGCGCGCAAAGGUCAACUCAGGGCGGAUGGAAAUCGCCCAGAGAGCGUAAGGGUAUAAGUUGGCUUGACUGCGAGAGUGACAAUUCGAGCAGAGACGAAAGUCGGUCCUAGUGAUCCGGCGGUGCUGAGUGGAAAGGCCGUCGCUCAUCGGAUAAAAGCUACCCUGGGGAUAACAGGCUGAUCUCCCCCGAGAGUUCCCAUCGACGGGGAGGUUUGGCACCUCGAUGUCGGCUCGUCGCAUCCUGGGGCUGUAGCAGGUCCCAAGGGUUGGUCUGUUCGCCCAUUAAAGCGGUACGUGAGCUGGGUUUAAAACGUCGUGAGACAGUUUGGUCCCUAUCCGCCACGGGCGCAAGAUAUUUGAGAGGAGCUGCUCCUAGUACGAGAGGACCGGAGUGGACGCACCGCUAGUGUACCGGUUGUGUUGCCAGACGCAGAAGCCGGGUAGCCAUGUGCGGCAGGGAUAACCGCUGAAGGCAUCU
RNAcentral lists this ribosomal RNA (2717 nucleotides) under Jonquetella anthropi. RNAcentral describes it as "bacterial LSU rRNA". It matches the Rfam family "Bacterial large subunit ribosomal RNA". Lineage: Bacteria; Thermotogati; Synergistota; Synergistia; Synergistales; Dethiosulfovibrionaceae. The record is from RNAcentral.